This is an RNA transcript of Copidosoma floridanum, 2807 nucleotides long. It is a transcript of the gene named luc7-like protein 3, with no coding region annotated. The record is from RefSeq and is a predicted model, not a curated record. Lineage: Eukaryota; Metazoa; Arthropoda; Insecta; Hymenoptera; Encyrtidae.
UCUCUCUCUGCGAGAUUUUCGUCCCACAAGUUUGCAACUCUCACCUUUUGUUUCCCCGCAUCUCUUGUAAAAUUGGCGCGUGGUUGGUGGUUCCGUCCAUUCGUGGCAUCUACUUCAGUUUUAUCGUUUAUAAGUACCCGUUAGACCGCAAACAAGAGUCCAUUAAUUCACCCUUUCUUUGAACAACAACAUAUUGUAGUCGCCACGCCACCAAGCCGAAAUUGCCGACUUUGUCCUCGUCUCUCGUGCGCGUCGUCGCAUGUUUUUGUAGCAAAUAAUAUAUUACGCAAAGUUUGUGCGUAUAGGUGCGACGCGCUCAAGAAAAGGUUAUAUUGAACUAAUUCAACGCUUACGCUAAAGUUGUUCAUUUGCUGUUGGUAGACGUUCACACUAGUAAUUUACUUUUUUGGAUUUUUGGAUCAAGUUUUUACAUCUGAUUACUAACUAUAAAGAGCCAUGGCCGCUGCGGCGGCUGCUGCGCUCCUCGACGAGCUCAUGGGCAGGAACAGAAACGUUUUACCAAACGAAAAACCCAAGGAGCUCAACUGGGAGGACUCCGAGUUCUGCAAGUUGUACCUCGUCAAAUUCUGUCCACAUGACUUGUUUGUUAAUACAAGGGCAGAUUUGGGAGCCUGCUUGAAAGUACAUGACGAUGAGGCCAGAGAAUUGUAUGAAAAAGCUCCCUACAGUUACCGCAAGCAACAGUACGAAGACGAGUUUAUCAGAUUUUGCCAAAGCAUGCUCAACGAAGUGGAGAGAAAAAUUGUCAAAGGCAAACAACGACUGGCCUUAAUUGGGAGGACAGAAGCCCCAACAUUGUCACCUGCUCAAACUCAAAAGAAUGAAGAACAAAUUACCUUGCUCUCGGAAAAAAUUAACAAACUGGUGGAAGAAGCGGAACAGAGUGGAAUUCAGGGCAAUGUUGAACAGGCUCAAGGCUUGAUGCGUUUGUGCGAUCAAUUAAAGGAAGAGAGGGAGACUUUGCGUAAAUCCAACGACAAUAGCCAUUACAACCAAACUGCAGAAUUAGCUGCUGCCCAAGAAAAACAAAUGGAAGUCUGUGAUGUUUGUGGCGCAUUCCUUAUCGUUGGCGAUGCUCAACAACGAAUUGAUGAUCAUUUAAUGGGUAAACAGCAUGUGGGCUAUGCCAGGUUGAAGAGUGCACUGCAAGAGAUUCAGGGCAAGCGAGAAAAACUAAGAGAAGAAAAAGAUAUGGAAAGAAAACGAUCACGGGAUGAAGAGGAUAGACGACGAAGACAUGACCGUGGCAGAGAUCGGGAAAGAAGAGAUAGGCACAGAGAUAGAGCUGGAGAUAAGGGAGGAGAUAGAGGAGACAAAGGGGGAGAUCAUGAUAGAGACAGACGUAGAAGAAAGGAGGAAGAAAAAAGAUGUGACCCGCAAAGAAAUUCUAAGCAUCGAAGUAGAAGUAAGUCCAAAGAAAAGCACGAUCGUCGAGAUGAAGACAAAGAUCGGCGCCAUAAAGACCGAGGUAGUCAUGAUCAUCAUUCUAACCAUCAAAAUCGCAAACGACACCGAUCCCGAAGUAGAAGUCACAAGUAACUACUCUUGAUCGGUUAGUGAGUGAGCGAAAAUUCAGGUAUGCACUUUACAAUUCACUUAUUAACGUCUCAAUUACUGUACAGAUUGUUUUUCACCAGGUAAGUUUCAUUAGCUGCAUUUUUUAAACCAAAGUAGAUUUUUUUUUUUUUUUUUCAACUCGUACUUUUCAUUUCGAUUGAUAUUCUACUUUUCUUGAUUGAUAUUUUAACUUUUCAUUCGAUUUUCUAUUUACAUGAAUUUUAUUGUCAGUGUGUAACUCAUUUACUAAUAAAAUUAAGAAAAAAAAGGUGCCUAGUUUAAAAACUUUGCACCUACAUACAGUUCUUUUAAUAACCAGUCGUACGCAAACGUAUUGAGACGUUAAGCAAAUAACCUUUAGAAUUAAAACAAACAAACAAAAAAUCCUAUAAUGUUACACAGAGCAAGGUAGGAGAAGGUAUACCUACACUUGCCUCUACUCUCUUUUAGUCGUUGAUAAUGUAUCUUUAGGUUGUACACGCAAAUUUAAUGAUAAAUACACCCCAAGGACAGCGGUAGAUUGUUUUUGUAACGAAUUUUAAAGCGGUUUAGAGCUAUUAUAACGGAGAGGAUUAAACAGUGUGCCCACUUCUUCCAAUAAACCAAUGUGCCUCGACAGUGUGCUGAAUAUACAAUCCUAAGCUUCUGCCUACGCACAAAAAAUUCAGAGGAAGAUUAAAGCAGCCGAAUACUCAUACAACUUAUAAGAUUAGUUAUGCAUCAACAGCUGUACGAUGAAGACAAAAGGAGUCAGACUAUACUGGGGAUCCAGUUAAAGGUAACGAUUUUCCAUACUAUGGUUUGAGAUUAUACAUAAUGGGCAAGAACGUGGGAUUCGGACGCAAUCUCGGAAUGAUGUUUUCCUCCUCAAGACGAAACUAAUGAUGCGCGAAUGUCGCUAUUUUCACAAUUUUUCAUUCACUCAAUUCAGAUAUACACAUACUUAUAUAUAUAUAAUAAUAAGUAUGCGUGUUGUGAGAUUAAUUUUCGUCACUUCAAUCAAACAAUUUAUUUUUUGAUUUUUGUUACUCUGUUACCAAUGCAACUUUUAAUUUUUUCAUUGUUUAUUAUCUGAAUUGUAGUAUUUGAACAAUCUUGUUAUAAUAAAAGCUAAGUUUUGGACCUUCAGAUGCUGUUUUAGUUUAUUUAUAACGAAUAAAUGAAAAAAAUUUGUGUACCAUAAAUGAUUUUUCUGUAAGCAUAGAAUAAAGGUCUUUUAAUUCAUGUCA